GAUGAACGCUGGCGGCGUGCUUAACACAUGCAAGUCGAACGGAAAGGCCCUGCUUUUGUGGGGUGCUCGAGUGGCGAACGGGUGAGAAACACGUGAGUAACCUGCCCUUGACUUUGGGAUAACUUCACGGAACUGGGGCUAAUACAGGGUAGGAGCUCCUGCAGCAUGGUGGGGGAUGGAAAGAUCCGGUGGUUGUGGAUGGAAUCGCGGCUUAUCAGCUUGUUGGUGGGGUAGUGGCUUACCAGGGCUUUGACGGGUAGCCGGCCUGAGAGGGUGACCGGCGACAUUAGGCCUGCGGUACGGACCAGACUGCUACGGGAGGCAGCAGUGGGGAGUAUGGCGCAAUGGGCGGGAGCCUGAUGCAGCAACGCCGCGUGCGGGAUGACGGCUUUUGGGUGGAAAACCGCUGUCGACUGUGACGAGGCGGGAGUGACGGUAAUGGGUAAAGAAGCACCGGCUAACUACGUG
Molecule: ribosomal RNA, 468 nt
Filed under: uncultured bacterium
Lineage: Bacteria
Description: partial 16S ribosomal RNA
Rfam family: Bacterial small subunit ribosomal RNA
Source: RNAcentral